AGUGAACGCUGGCGGUAGGCCUAACACAUGCAAGUCGAACGGCAGCACAGUAAGAGCUUGCUCUUACGGGUGGCGAGUGGCGGACGGGUGAGGAAUACAUCGGAAUCUACUUUUUCGUGGGGGACAACGUAGGGAAACUUACGCUAAUACCGCAUACGACCUACGGGUGAAAGCAGGGGAUCUUCGCACCUUGCGCGAUUGAAUGAGCCGAUGUCGGAUUAGCUAGUUGGCGAGGUAAAGGCCCACCAAGGCGACGAUCCGUAGCUGAUCUGAGAGGAUGAUCAGCCACACUGGAACUGAGACACGGUCCAGACUCCUACGGGAGGCAGCAGUGGGGAAUAUUGGACAAAGGGCGCAAGCCUGAUCCAGCCAUACCGCGUGGGUGAAGAAGGCCUUCGGGUUGUAAAGCCCUUUUGUUGGGAAAGAAAAGCAGCAGGUUAAUACCCCGCUGUUCUGACGGUACCCAAAGAAUAAGCACCGGCUAACUUCGUG
This 492-nucleotide ribosomal RNA is filed under the name uncultured bacterium. RNAcentral describes it as "partial 16S ribosomal RNA". It matches the Rfam family "Bacterial small subunit ribosomal RNA", at positions 29 to 507 of the family's 1533-position model. The record is from RNAcentral.